This 253-nucleotide ribosomal RNA is filed under the name uncultured bacterium. RNAcentral describes it as "partial 16S ribosomal RNA". It matches the Rfam family "Bacterial small subunit ribosomal RNA", at positions 524 to 776 of the family's 1533-position model. The record is from RNAcentral.
UACAGAGGUCUCAAGCGUUGUUCGGAUUCAUUGGGCGUAAAGGGUGCGUAGGCGGCGCGGUAAGUCGGGUGUGAAAUCUCGGAGCUUAACUCCGAAACUGCAUUCGAUACUGCCGUGCUUGAGGACUGGAGAGGAGACUGGAAUUUACGGUGUAGCGGUGAAAUGCGUAGAUAUCGUAAGGAAGACCAGUGGCGAAGGCGGGUCUCUGGACCCAAACUGACGCUGAGGAACGAAAGCGUGGGGAGCAAACAGG